GGAAGCUGUGGGAAGGAGCAAUCCCUGACUUCCUUGCAUUUAUGUUGCAUCGUCGUACUUGCAUAGCCAUGCAAGGGGAAAAUUUCUUGCUCACUUACUCAAGCUGAACGAGGGCAGCAUGUCAUCUGGUCCUUCACAUGUCUUGAGAACUUAGAGGUUCAGCCAGAUGUGACCUGCAAGCCAGAACUGCUGCUCUCUUCGAGAGUAUUGCUGUCUGCUACCCACCCAUUCUGCUGUCCUUAACCUGUAGGGCACAUGUGCAGAAAACACGGUUCCCACACCUCGCUCAUGGUCUUCAGCAGCAGGGAAGAGAACAAGAAUGAAACAGCAAGAAAGGGAAGAGAAAAUACAGUGGCAUAAUACCGUAUGCCUUCAAUUGUAAGUAAAGAGACAUAUUCUAUUUUGCUGUCUUUACUAGAUCUUGUCCUGCUUGACUGAGGAGAGGGAAGUCCUACUUUAUCUUGCACUAUAAGGUUGCUGCUGGAUCUGAAAAAUGCAGUCAGAAGUAUUUUCAGUUAACUGCCUAGUAACUGGGCAUAGCUUCCACGCUCUUAGAGUUACUUUCAGUGGUAAACUUGCUUUGGAACCUAUUCACCAGCUCCUCUUCCUGACCUCUGCUGC
Long non-coding RNA from Strigops habroptila (Kakapo), 621 nucleotides. RefSeq lists it as uncharacterized. Lineage: Eukaryota; Metazoa; Chordata; Aves; Psittaciformes; Psittacidae. The record is from RefSeq and is a predicted model, not a curated record. The transcript has 3 exons.